CUGUAAUGGAAUGUUUUCCAAAUGCUACUCUGCAGCAGGUGCAUCUGUUAGAAUUCAUCUAAUUUUUACAACAACCCCAGGAGGUAAAAAGGCACUUAAAACAGAUUUUCUUGUUGAAGAAAUUGAGCUCAAAAUGCAGCUGAAGUGCAGCUCAAGUGCCCUUUCUUCAUGAAGUGUCUCCUCUACCUGCCUCUGUGAACUGCACAAACACUUCCUCCCCUUCCUGGAUUCCUGUGGAACUAAGGACACUCACACUUUCAAAAGACAGUCCUCAUCUUUCCAGGCUUUGUGGCAACUACAAUGAGGUUUAUGGUCUAGAUUAAAUGAAUCAGACAUGCCUGAGCAAGAAGCAGCGUCAAGUGCUCUGUGGAACCUGCAUUGCUGCUGUCCUUAAGCAAGUGAAGGCAGCUGCAGCAGGAGCGAUGGUUCUGGGGACCAUGCUCUGGACUUAGUGGCCCUGGAGCGAGAUCUGAGAGUAAAAAUGGACCUUGCCGGCAGUUCUGCGAUAUGGCUUAGGAAGAGAAGAACAACUGUUUCACAGAGCAGGUAAAGAAAAAGGCGUUGCUGGAAAGGGCACAUGAAGAAUGUUGCUGUGGAUGGCAUCCUGCUUUUGCUUUGAGUAGUGUUGGUGGCAUUAAAAAGAAUAAGA
Molecule: non-coding RNA, 649 nt
Organism: Microcebus murinus (gray mouse lemur)
Lineage: Eukaryota; Metazoa; Chordata; Mammalia; Primates; Cheirogaleidae
Source: RefSeq, a predicted model, not a curated record